GAACGGAGUUGUUAUUCAGAAGUUCUUCGGGAUGGAAGGAUAAGAACUUAGUGGCGGACGGGUGAGUAACGCGUGGGUAACCUGCCCUUUUGUGGGGAACAACUUCGAGAAAUCGGAGCUAAUACCGCAUAAUAAUAGAGGAUCGCAUGAUUCUUUAAGGAAAGAUGGCCUCUGAAGAUGCUAUCGCAAAAGGAUGGACCCGCGUCUGAUUAGCUAGUUGGAAGGGUAACGGCCUACCAAGGCAACGAUCAGUAGCCGGCCUGAGAGGGUGAACGGCCACAUUGGGACUGAGACACGGCCCAAACUCCUACGGGAGGCAGCAGUGGGGAAUCUUCCGCAAUGGGCGAAAGCCUGACGGAGCAAUGCCGCGUGAGUGAAGAAGGCCUUCGGGUUGUAAAACUCUGUCCUUAUCGAAGAGAGGUAGGUAUGUGAAUAAUGUACCUAUAGGACGGUAGAUAAGGAGGAAGCCCCGGCUAACUACGUGCCAGCAGCCGCGGUAAUACGUAGGGGGCGAGCGUUGUCCGGAAUCACUGGGCGUAAAGGGCGCGUAGGCGGUUUAAUAAGUCAGUGGUGAAAACUGAGGGCUCAACCCUCAGCCUGCCACUGAUACUGUUAGACUUGAGUAUGGAAGAGGAGAAUGGAAUUCCUAGUGUAGCGGUGAAAGGGGGAGACCUGGGGGGAACACCAGUGGCGAAGGCGAUUCUCGGGCCAAGACUGACGCUGAGGCGCGAAAGCGUGGGGAGCAAACAGGAUUAGAUACCCUGGUAGUCCACGCCGUAAACGAUGGAUACUAGGUGUUAGUAGUUUCGAUGCUACUAGUGCCGGAGUAAACACAAUAAGUAUCCCGCCUGGGGAGUACGGUCGCAAGACUGAAACUCAAAGGAAUUGACGGGGGCCCGCACAAGCGGUGGAGCAUGUGGUUUAAUUCGACGCAACGCGAAGAACCUUACCAAGACUUGACAUCCUCCUGACAAGAUAUGUAAUGUAUCUCUUUUCUUCGGAGACAGGAGAGACAGGUGGUGCAUGGUUGUCGUCAGCUCGUGUCGUGAGAUGUUGGGUUAAGUCCCGCAACGAGCGCAACCCUUAUUUCUAGUUGCCAGCAGUAAGAUGGGGACUCUAGAGAGACUGCCAGUGACAAACUGGAGGAAGGUGGGGAUGACGUCAAAUCAUCAUGCCCCUUAUGUCUUGGGCUACACACGUGCUACAAUGGUCAGAACAGAGGGAAGCGAAGCCGCGAGGUGGAGCAAAUCCCAGAAAACUGAUCUCAGUUCGGAUUGCAGGCUGCAACCCGCCUGCAUGAAGUCGGAAUCGCUAGU
Molecule: ribosomal RNA, 1316 nt
Filed under: uncultured bacterium
Lineage: Bacteria
Description: partial 16S ribosomal RNA
Rfam family: Bacterial small subunit ribosomal RNA
Source: RNAcentral